This 73-nucleotide transfer RNA is filed under the name Sinorhizobium fredii NGR234. It matches the Rfam family "tRNA". Rfam says of the family: Transfer RNA (tRNA) molecules are approximately 80 nucleotides in length. Their secondary structure includes four short double-helical elements and three loops (D, anti-codon, and T loops). The record is from Rfam by way of RNAcentral. Lineage: Bacteria; Pseudomonadati; Pseudomonadota; Alphaproteobacteria; Hyphomicrobiales; Rhizobiaceae.
GGGGCUGUAGCUCAGCUGGGAGAGCACCUGCUUUGCAAGCAGGGGGUCAGCGGUUCGAUCCCGCUCAGCUCCC